AGCGAACGCUGGCGGCAGGCCUAACACAUGCAAGUCGAACGAACUCUUCGGAGUUAGUGGCGGACGGGUGAGUAACACGUGGGAACGUGCCUUUUGGUUCGGAAUAACUCAGGGAAACUUGUGCUAAUACCGAAUGUGCCCUUCGGGGGAAAGAUUUAUCGCCAUUAGAGCGGCCCGCGUCUGAUUAGCUAGUUGGUGAGGUAACGGCUCACCAAGGCGACGAUCAGUAGCUGGUCUGAGAGGAUGACCAGCCACACUGGGACUGAGACACGGCCCAGACUCCUACGGGAGGCAGCAGUGGCGAACCUUGCGCAAUGGGCGAAAGCCUGACGCAGCCAUGCCGCGUGAAUGAUGAAGGUCUUAGGAUUGUAAAAUUCUUUCACCGGGGACGAUAAUGACGGUACCCGGAGAAGAAGCCCCGGCUAACUUCGUG
Molecule: ribosomal RNA, 433 nt
Filed under: uncultured bacterium
Lineage: Bacteria
Description: partial 16S ribosomal RNA
Rfam family: Bacterial small subunit ribosomal RNA
Source: RNAcentral